AUUGAACGCUGGCGGCAGGCCUAACACAUGCAAGUCGAGCGGAUGAAGGGAGCUUUCUCCUGGAUUCAGCGGCGGACGGGUGAGUAAUGCCUAGGAAUCUGCCUGGUAUUGGGGGAUAACGUCCGUAAACGGGCGCUAAUACCGCAUACGUCCUGAUGGUGAAAGUGGGGGAUCUUCGGACCUCACGCUAUCAGAUGACCCUAGGUCGGAUUAGCUAGUUGGUUGGGUAACGGCCUACCAAGGCGACGAUCCGUAACUGGUCUGAGAGGAUGAUCAGCCACACUGGAACUGAGACACGGUCCAGACUCCUACGGGAGGCAGCAGUGGGGAAUAUUGGACAAUGGGCGAAAGCCUGAUCCAGCCAUGCCGCGUGUGUGAAGAAGGUCUUCGGAUUGUAAAGCACUUUAAGUUGGGAGGAAGGGCAGUAAGUUAAUACCUUGCUGUUUUGACGUUACCAACAGAAUAAGCACCGGCUAACUUCGUG
This 484-nucleotide ribosomal RNA is filed under the name uncultured bacterium. RNAcentral's name for it is "partial 16S ribosomal RNA". It matches the Rfam family "Bacterial small subunit ribosomal RNA", at positions 30 to 507 of the family's 1533-position model. The record is from RNAcentral.